Molecule: long non-coding RNA, 254 nt
Organism: Pongo pygmaeus (Bornean orangutan)
Lineage: Eukaryota; Metazoa; Chordata; Mammalia; Primates; Hominidae
Exons: 3
Source: RefSeq, a predicted model, not a curated record
UGCUUGGGUGGAGAGCAACAUGGACAUCGACGGGAGAGGCUGAUGGGGCUGGAACAUAAGGAGGCCUCAGCUGUACCGACAUUUGGGUGCUGUAUUUUACAUUGAGGGUUUAUCAUCAUUCAAUGAUGUGGCUGUUGACUUCACCUGGGAGGAGUGGAAGCUAUUAGACCCUGUUCAGAAGAACCUCUACCAGGAUGUGAUGUUGGAAAAUUACAACAACCUAGUGUCAUUGGGUUAUCAAGCUACCAAGCCAG